This 292-nucleotide ribosomal RNA is filed under the name gamma proteobacterium SCGC AAA278-N21. Its description in RNAcentral is "partial 16S small subunit ribosomal RNA". It matches the Rfam family "Bacterial small subunit ribosomal RNA", at positions 481 to 772 of the family's 1533-position model. The record is from RNAcentral. Lineage: Bacteria; Pseudomonadati; Pseudomonadota; Gammaproteobacteria.
GCAGAAUAAGCACCGGCUAACUCCGUGCCAGCAGCCGCGGUAAUACGGAGGGUGCAAGCGUUAAUCGGAAUUACUGGGCGUAAAGCGCGCGCAGGCGGUUUNNUAAGUCAGAUGUGAAAUCCCCGGGCUCAACCUGGGAACUGCAUUUGANACUGGCNGGCUAGAGUCNGGUAGAGGGGGGUGGAAUUCCAGGUGUAGCGGUGAAAUGCGUAGAUAUCUGGAGGAACACCGGUGGCGAAGGCGGCCCCCUGGACNNNNACUGACGCUCAGGNGCGAAAGCGUGGGGAGCAAA